UACGGAGGGUGCAAGCGUUAUCCGGAUUCACUGGGGUUAAAGGGUGCGUAGGCGGAUUCUUAAGUCCGUGGUGAAAUCUCCAAGCUUAACUUGGAAACUGCCAUGGAUACUAUUAGUCUUGAAUGUUGUGGAGGUUAGCGGAAUAUGUCAUGUAGCGGUGAAAUGCAUAGGUAUGACAUAGAACACCAAUUGCGAAGGCAGCUGGCUACACAAAUAUUGACGCUGAGGCACGAAAGCGUGGGGAUCAAACAGG
Molecule: ribosomal RNA, 253 nt
Filed under: uncultured bacterium
Lineage: Bacteria
Description: partial 16S ribosomal RNA
Rfam family: Bacterial small subunit ribosomal RNA
Source: RNAcentral